CAGUGUUAUAGCUCUUUUAGAAUUUGUCUAGCAGGUUUUCCAGUUUUUACUGGGAAGUCCCU
RNAcentral lists this small nuclear RNA (62 nucleotides) under Tupaia belangeri chinensis (Chinese tree shrew). RNAcentral describes it as "Tupaia chinensis (Chinese tree shrew) U7 small nuclear RNA". It matches the Rfam family "U7 small nuclear RNA". From Rfam's summary of the family: Animal histone pre-mRNAs are spliced by a different mechanism than nuclear pre-mRNAs and self-splicing introns. This processing involves the U7 snRNP, which contains only one RNA species: U7. The 5' end of U7 RNA is thought to base-pair to a conserved spacer element downstream of the cleavage site in histone pre-mRNA. The record is from Rfam by way of RNAcentral. Lineage: Eukaryota; Metazoa; Chordata; Mammalia; Scandentia; Tupaiidae.